This is a non-coding RNA of Caranx melampygus (bluefin trevally), 91 nucleotides long. NCBI's taxonomy places the organism in Eukaryota, Metazoa, Chordata, Actinopteri, Carangiformes, Carangidae. The record is from the annotation of a GenBank genome assembly.
UGGUGUUUAGCUCAGUUGGUAGAGCAGCUGCCUGGUGAGUUGAGGCCACAGUCCUCAUUGCAGGUGGCCCUGGUUCAAAUCCUGCAUUGAG